UGCCACAGCCAUGUCACCCUGCAGCCCAAGACCGGUUACACACUGAAGCUAAGUAGGGCUGAGCCUGGUCAGUACCUGGAUGGGAGACCACUAGGGAACACUAGGUUGCUGUUGGGA
This 117-nucleotide ribosomal RNA is filed under the name Danio rerio (zebrafish). Lineage: Eukaryota; Metazoa; Chordata; Actinopteri; Cypriniformes; Danionidae. The record is from RNAcentral.